AUAUUAGAUUUUUGUCUUACG
Molecule: small RNA, 21 nt
Filed under: Arabidopsis thaliana (thale cress)
Lineage: Eukaryota; Viridiplantae; Streptophyta; Magnoliopsida; Brassicales; Brassicaceae
Description: ATSL216490
Source: RNAcentral